Molecule: long non-coding RNA, 1171 nt
Organism: Dromaius novaehollandiae (emu)
Lineage: Eukaryota; Metazoa; Chordata; Aves; Casuariiformes; Dromaiidae
Exons: 4
Source: RefSeq, a predicted model, not a curated record
UGUUUUCUGGACACUUUAAAGAGCGUGUCUCCCUGUGGCAGAGAUAAGAGCCCACGUCCUGCAUCCUGCGGCUGUGCAUUCUCAGCCACAGCAGUCACUGCAGCCCCUUUCCAGAGGAAGGCGAUUUGGACAAUGACAUCGCAGACUAAUGCAGCUAAUCCGGCCUUACCCAUGGGAAGUGGAUGAGGUCACAAGACUGGGAGAGGACUUGUUGGCUGUCAGGAGGAUGGUGAAGUCGACAUGUCAAAAAGAGCAGAGUGCGGCUGUGGGUGAAGAAAGAGAAAGGUGACACGAAAGCCCGAGCCCGAAGGGGAGCAGAGGGACGGCCGCCGGCCGGGCAGGGAGCGGAGGGGCUGCAGAUCGGGGGCCUCGUUGAGCGCGCUAAUUAAAACCCGGAGCCCCUGGGACGAACGGGAGGCCACGCACAGAGCGCAGCGGCGCUGGGGAUGACACAGCGCUGCGUUCAUGCUCUCCAACCGUAGACACCAGCUUUGCGAUAUCACCUUGCCUGAUGGAUUUUAAAUAGUCCUGCGAGUCUAUUAAUAAUAACAGAAAGAAUAUUUCACUGUAGGGCAGGGGAGAUGGACUGGAUCCAAGGUCCUUCGCAGAGAGAUGGAUUUAUACGACGUUCUGCUUUGCAAAGCGGAAAGCCGUCUCCGGUGCCGGCGGCGCUGGCCGUCCCGGUGCAUCGUGCUCAUCGCAGCAGCCGGGCGACAGAAGAGCCCGCGCCGCCGCUCCGCAGCCGGUCCCUGGCCCGACCUGUUAAACAGACCGAGCUCUGCUUUGCAUCCGAGCCCCGGCCCCGGCGUGCCCACGGCGGAGCGGCCGCCGCGGCGGGGAGCUCCCGGCCUUCCCUGCCACGGCCUCUGCAGCGGCUCGGCGAGCACCCCUUCUGAAGGGGGCUUUCUUAGUAGUAUUAUUUUGUGGUCAAAAGGUUGCAUACACUUUUUUUUUUCCUGAUGCAGAGGCUUAGAAAGAGUGGAAAGCAAAAUAUUUUGAUAAUUAUUCAGGCCAGCGGGUUACAUAAAAGGUUCCAUAGCCCUCUGCAUCAAACCUUAACAGUUCAAACCACAAAUUCUGUUUUUGCAGCCAUAAAACAUUCAGGGCAAAAAAAAAAAAAAAAAGAAAGAAAGAAAGAUUUAAAAAAAAUAAAAUAAAAUAAUAAAAUCCA